RNAcentral lists this ribosomal RNA (594 nucleotides) under Aspergillus flavus. Its description in RNAcentral is "eukaryotic LSU rRNA". It matches the Rfam family "Eukaryotic large subunit ribosomal RNA", at positions 1 to 597 of the family's 3401-position model. Lineage: Eukaryota; Fungi; Ascomycota; Eurotiomycetes; Eurotiales; Aspergillaceae. The record is from RNAcentral.
UUGACCUCGGAUCAGGUAGGGAUACCCGCUGAACUUAAGCAUAUCAAUAAGCGGAGGAAAAGAAACCAACCGGGAUUGCCUCAGUAACGGCGAGUGAAGCGGCAAGAGCUCAAAUUUGAAAGCUGGCUCCUUCGGGGUCCGCAUUGUAAUUUGCAGAGGAUGCUUCGGGUGCGGCCCCUGUCUAAGUGCCCUGGAACGGGCCGUCAGAGAGGGUGAGAAUCCCGUCUGGGAUGGGGUGUCCGCGCCCGUGUGAAGCUCCUUCGACGAGUCGAGUUGUUUGGGAAUGCAGCUCUAAAUGGGUGGUAAAUUUCAUCUAAAGCUAAAUACUGGCCGGAGACCGAUAGCGCACAAGUAGAGUGAUCGAAAGAUGAAAAGCACUUUGAAAAGAGAGUUAAAAAGCACGUGAAAUUGUUGAAAGGGAAGCGCUUGCGACCAGACUCGCCUCCAGGGUUCAGCCGGCAUUCGUGCCGGUGUACUUCCCUGGGGGCGGGCCAGCGUCGGUUUGGGCGGCCGGUCAAAGGCUCCCGGAAUGUAGUGCCCUCCGGGGCACCUUAUAGCCGGGAGUGCAAUGCGGCCAGCCUGGACCGAGGAACG